This 997-nucleotide small RNA is filed under the name Mytilus galloprovincialis (Mediterranean mussel). The record is from RNAcentral. Lineage: Eukaryota; Metazoa; Mollusca; Bivalvia; Mytilida; Mytilidae.
AUGAAUAACUUAGGUCUGUCGUUAUGUGAGAUAUUUGAUGUUACAAGAUAUCAUACUAGCUCGUACCAUCCUCAAACAAAUGGGUUAGUAGAAAGGUGCAACUCAACUCUGAUAAAGUCUUUCAGAGCAUACUGUGAUAAGGCUCAAAAUAAUUGGCCCGAUAAAUUGCCCGGAAUUUUAAUGGCUUUACGCAAUUCUCCUUCAACUCAAUCAACUGAGUUUUCUCCCUUUCAUUUGCUGUUUGGUAGAGAAAUGAAUCUACCUUUUGACACUUCUGUUACACCUAAACAGAAUUUGUCAUCAGAUGCCAAGCUUCAAAUGGAAGAAGUUCUAUCAAAUCUAAAGAUCACACAAGAUCUUGCCACUAAAAAUAUGUUAGAAAAACAGUUAAAAUCUAAAGAGCGAUACGACCGAAAUUCAAAAAUUCCACAAUUUAAAGUAAGGGAUUUAGUUUCACUUCGGCAACAUGUGGUUCCCGUCGGUCGCUCACCGAAAUUGGUAGACAAGUACAAAGGGCCUUAUUACAUAACUGAGUUGGGACCAAAGUACACAUACAAAUUGAGAAUGUGCAGCACUAAUAAAAAGGUAAAAUCGAUGAUCAAUGCAAAAGAAAUAAUCCUUUACAAGGAUCCAAGAGAUCAUCAGCUGCAACCCAAUGAGGUGGUCACAAAAUCAAGCUAAUAAUGCUGAUAGGGUAGAUCAGCAUGAUCAAGGUGAUGAGAAUGUGCCUCAAGCACAAAAUAGGGAGAAUGAAACCACUGAUGGAAAUGAUGAUCAUCAGUUUUAUAAAGCGGAAAAACUUUUGAAGUUAAAGCGCUUACAAGGUAAACGACAUUUCCUUGUAAAAUGGGCGGACGGCUCAAAACCCACAUGGGAACCAGAGGAAUAUGUUUCAGAACAUUUAAUCAGAGUAUAUUUCAGCACACAUACAAAUACCGGAGCUAAACGAAAGAGAAAAACAUGCAUACGGCAAAAACUAGUCACACAAAACUAUUAA